This is a non-coding RNA of Camellia sinensis, 458 nucleotides long. The record is from RefSeq and is a predicted model, not a curated record. NCBI's taxonomy places the organism in Eukaryota, Viridiplantae, Streptophyta, Magnoliopsida, Ericales, Theaceae.
CUUUAAAUUUAGUUUUUGAAGUUUUUCAUUUUUAUUUUCCUACAGCCUGGAGAAAGAAAUUUUAGACCGUUAUCUUGAAGCUGUUCUGAAGGGAAACAAGGAUGGGUUAAAGAAACUACGGUUGCGGAUAGAGGAUCCACCGCGAAGAAAGCAUAUGGUGUACCUUGGAGGAGCAGUCCUUGCAGGAAUUAUGAAGGAUGCACCGGAGUUUUGGAUUAGCAGAGAAGAUUACCUAGAAGAGGGAAUUGCAUGUCUAAGCAAGUGUGGCCAAGCAUGAAUUUUUGGCUAGGAGAGUGUUAGCAUUUAAGUCUUCCAAGAGUUGGGUGGCUAAUGCAGUGAUCUAUUUUUGUGAUAAUUCUAGCAAAAGUUUCGUUAUGCCACACGUAUCGCCCAAAAAAAAAAUCUCACCAUGCCAUACCCCUAUUGCUAGGUAUAGGGAAAAAAUUAUGUGUUUUAAU